GCUAAAUAGCUAGCUCACUCAACCAAAAUGAACCAGAUAAUAUAUCUAAUUUUUCCCAACCCAAACCCAAUAAACUAAAACAUUUUACCGUCCUAGUAUAGGCGAUAGAAAAGAAACUACCGAAGCAAUAGAAAUAGUACCGCAAGGGAAAGCUGAAAAAGUAAUGAAAUAACCCGUUAAAGCACUAAAAAGCAGAGAUUUAUCCUCGUACCUUUUGCAUCAUGAUUUAGCUAGCACCUUUGAGCAAAAAGAAUUUUAGUUCAAAACCCCGAAACCAAGUGAGCUACCCCGAGACAGCCUAUUAUAGGGCCAACCCGUCUCUGUGGCAAAAGAGUGGGAAGAUCUCCGGGUAGCAGUGAUAAACUUACCGAACUUGGUGAUAGCUGGUUACUUGGGAAAUGGAUAGAAGUUCAGCCUCGUUCUCCUCGCACCAAAAAAGCAACGCUGCACAAUGGAGUAGAGUAAAAUACGAGAGUUAGUCAAAGGGGGUACAGCCCCUUUGAACAGGAUACAACCUGCCCAGGAGGUUAAGGAUCAUAUUAACUAAAAUAACUGCUUUAGUGGGCCUAGAAGCAGCCACCUAUUAGAAAGCGUUAAAGCUCAAGCAGAUAACAACAUUUAUUAUUCUGAUAAUAUAUUUCCUAAACCCCUAACCCUACCAAGUUAUUCCAUGCCACCAUGGAAGCAAUACUGCUAAAAUGAGUAACAAGAAGACACCCUCUUCUCCUAGCCCACGUGUAAGUUAGAUCGGACCAACCACUAACAAUUAACGAAUCCAACCCAAGAGGAAACUGUGCAUAAAUAAUGAAAACAAGAAAUACCCACACACCCCUCAUCGUUAACCCUACACUGGAGAGCCGAUAGGAAAGACUUAAAGAAAAAGAAGGAACUCGGCAAAUCUAAGCCUCGCCUGUUUACCAAAAACAUCGCCUCCCGCAAAUACCGAAGUAUAGGAGGUCCUACCUGCCCAGUGAUUAUAUUCAACGGCCGCGGUAUCCUGACCGUGCUAAGGUAGCGAAAUCACUUGUCUUUUAAAUGAAGACCUGUAUGAAUGGUGGAACGAGGGCUUAACUGUCUCCUUUUUCAGGUCAGUGAAAUUGAUCUGCCCGUGCAGAAGCGGACAUAUACAUGCAAGACGAGAAGACCCUUUGGAGCUUAAGACUUAAGAGUCAACUGCGUUAAGAAUUUUGACUAAAAAAAUUAAGAUUAACCACCACUGACUCUGCGCCUUCGGUUGGGGCGACCGCGGGGGAAACAAAGCCCCCACGCAGAAUGGGAUAACCCUUAAACUAAGAGAGACAUCUCUAAGUCACAGAACCUCUGACUUAAUGAUCCGGCACAAACCGAUCAACGAACCAAGUUACCCUAGGGAUAACAGCGCAAUCCCCUUCAAGAGCCCGUAUCAACAAGGGGGUUUACGACCUCGAUGUUGGAUCAGGACAUCCUAAUGGUGCAGCCGCUAUUAAGGGUUCGUUUGUUCAACGAUUAAAGUCCUACGUGAUCUGAGUUCAGACCGGAGCAAUCCAGGUCAGUUUCUAUCUGUAUCACUAUUUUUCCUAGUACGAAAGGACCGGAAAAAUGAGGCCCAUGCCACAGGCACGCCUCCUAUUAACUUGAUGAAAACAACUCAAUCAAGUAAUAAUAGGUACCUCUCUCCCCGAGAGAAGGGAGCGCA
This 1675-nucleotide ribosomal RNA is filed under the name Salminus brasiliensis (dorado). RNAcentral's name for it is "16S ribosomal RNA". It matches the Rfam family "Bacterial large subunit ribosomal RNA". The record is from RNAcentral. Lineage: Eukaryota; Metazoa; Chordata; Actinopteri; Characiformes; Bryconidae.